CAGCCGCCACGGUAAUACGAAGGGGGCUAGCGUUGUUCGGAUUUACUGGGCGUAAAGCGCACGUAGGCGGAUCGAUCAGUCAGGGGUGAAAUCCUGGAGCUCAACUCCAGAACUGCCUUUGAUACUGUCGAUCUCGAGUCCGGAAGAGGUGAGUGGAACUCCUAGUGUAGAGGUGGAAUUCGUAGAUAUUAGGAAGAACACCAGUGGCGAAGGCGGCUCACUGGUCCGGUACUGACGCUGAGGUGCGAAAGCGUGGGGAGCAAACAGGAUUAGAUACCCCAGUAGUCCCUGUCUCUUAUAC
This 301-nucleotide ribosomal RNA is filed under the name uncultured bacterium. RNAcentral's name for it is "partial 16S ribosomal RNA". It matches the Rfam family "Bacterial small subunit ribosomal RNA", at positions 509 to 807 of the family's 1533-position model. The record is from RNAcentral.